This 468-nucleotide ribosomal RNA is filed under the name uncultured bacterium. RNAcentral describes it as "partial 16S ribosomal RNA". It matches the Rfam family "Bacterial small subunit ribosomal RNA", at positions 28 to 507 of the family's 1533-position model. The record is from RNAcentral.
GACGAACGCUGGCGGCGUGCUUAACACAUGCAAGUCGAACGGAAAGGCCCUGCUUUUGUGGGGUGCUCGAGUGGCGAACGCGUGAGUAACACGUGUGUAACCUGCCCUUGACUUUGGGAUAACUUCAGGAAACUGGGGCUAAUAUCGGAUAGGAGCUCCUGCUGCACGGUGGGGGUUGGAAAGUUUCGGCGGUUUGGGAUGGACUCGAGGCUUAUCGGCUGGUUGGUGGGGUAGUGGUUUACCAAGCUUUCGACGGGUAGCCGGCCUGAGAGGGUUGCCGGCGACAUUGGGACUGAGAGACGGACCAGACUCCUACGUGAGGCAGCAGUGGGGAAUAUGGCACAAUGGGCGGGAGCCUGAGACAGCAACGCCGCGUGCGGGAUGACGUCCUUCGAGUGGUAAACCGCUUUCGCCUGUGACGAAGCGUGAGUGACGGUAAUGGGUAAAGAAGCACCGGCUAACUACGUG